RNAcentral lists this ribosomal RNA (492 nucleotides) under uncultured bacterium. Its description in RNAcentral is "partial 16S ribosomal RNA". It matches the Rfam family "Bacterial small subunit ribosomal RNA", at positions 29 to 507 of the family's 1533-position model. The record is from RNAcentral.
AGUGAACGCUGGCGGUAGGCCUAACACAUGCAAGUCGAACGGCAGCACAGUAAGAGCUUGCUCUUACGGGUGGCGAGUGGCGGACGGGUGAGGAAUACAUCGGAAUCUACUUUUUCGUGGGGGAUAACGUAGGGAAACUUACGCUAAUACCGCAUACGACCUACGGGUGAAAUCAGGGGAUCUUCGGACCUUGCGCGAUUGAAUGAGCCGAUGUCGGAUUAGCUAGUUGGCGGGGUAAAGGCCCACCAAGGCGACGAUCCGUAGCUGGUCUGAGAGGAUGAUCGGCCACACUGGAACUGAGACACGGUCCAGACUCCUACGGGAGGCAGCAGUAGGGAAUAUUGGACAAUGGGCGCAAGCCUGAUCCAGCCAUACCGCGUGGGUGAAGAAGGCCUUCGGAUUGUAAAACUCUUUUAUUAGGGAAGAAAAGCAGCAGAUGAAUCCCCCGCUGUUCUGACGGUACCCAAAGAGUAAGCACCGGCUAACUUCGUG